Molecule: ribosomal RNA, 492 nt
Filed under: uncultured bacterium
Lineage: Bacteria
Description: partial 16S ribosomal RNA
Rfam family: Bacterial small subunit ribosomal RNA
Source: RNAcentral
AGUGAACGCUGGCGGUAGGCCUAACACAUGCAAGUCGAACGGCAGCACAGUAAGAGCUUGCUCUUACGGGUGGCGAGUGGCGGACGGGUGAGGAAUACAUCGGAAUCUACUUUUUCGUGGGGGAUAACGUAGGGAAACUUACGCUAAUACCGCAUACGUCCUACGGGUGAAAGCAGGGGAUCUUCGGACCUUGCGCGAUUGAAUGAGCCGAUGUCGGAUUAGCUAGUUGGCGGGGUAAAGGCCCACCAAGGCGACGAUCCGUAGCUCGUCUGAGAGGAUGAUCAGCCCCACUGGAACUGAGACACGGUCCAGACUCCUACGGGAGGCAGCAGUGGGGAAUAUUGGACAAUGGGCGCAAGCCUGAUCCAGCCAUACCGCGUGGGUUAAGAAGGCCUUCGGGUUGGAAAGCCCUUUUGUUGGGAAAGAAAAGCAGCAGGUUAAUACCCCGCUGUUCUGACGGUACCCAAAGAAUAAGCACCGGCUAACUUCGUG